AGUGAACGCUGGCGGUAGGCCUAACACAUGCAAGUCGAACGGCAGCACAGUAAGAGCUUGCUCUUACGGGUGGCGAGUGGCGGACGGGUGAGGAAUACAUCGGAAUCUACUUUUUCGUGGGGGAUAACGUAGGGAAACUUACGCUAAUACCGCAUACGACCUACGGGUGAAAGCAGGGGAUCUUCGGACCUUGCGCGAUUGAAUGAGCCGAUGUCGGAUUAGCUAGUUGGCGGGGUAAAGGCCCACCAAGGCGACGAUCCGUAGCUGGUCUGAGAGGAUGAUCAGCCACACUGGAACUUAGACACGGUCCAGACUCCUACGGGAGGGCGCCGUGGGGAAUAUUGGACAAUGGGCGGCAGCCUGAUCCAGCCAUACCGCGUGGGUGAAGAAGGCCUUCGGGUUGUAAAGCCCUUUUGUUGGGAAAGAAAAGCAGCAGGUUAAUACCCCGCUGUUCUGACGGUACCCAAAGAAUAAGCACCGGCUAACUUCGUG
RNAcentral lists this ribosomal RNA (492 nucleotides) under uncultured bacterium. RNAcentral's name for it is "partial 16S ribosomal RNA". It matches the Rfam family "Bacterial small subunit ribosomal RNA", at positions 29 to 507 of the family's 1533-position model. The record is from RNAcentral.